GUGGAUAAGUGCAAGAAAAUGAAUCUUGGAUGUAAAAACCCAAGGGCAGAGUACAGAAUAUUUGAUAGAGUCCUAACCUCAACAUCUGAAUAAAGGGAUUUAGGGGUGAUUAUUUCUGAUGACUUAAAAAGGUAGGCAGACAAUGUAAUAGAGCAGCAGGAAAUGCCAGCAAAAUGCUUGGUUGUAUAGGGAGAGGCAUUAGCAGUAGAAAGAGGGAAGUGCUCAUGCC
Molecule: non-coding RNA, 229 nt
Organism: Pelobates cultripes (western spadefoot toad)
Lineage: Eukaryota; Metazoa; Chordata; Amphibia; Anura; Pelobatidae
Source: the annotation of a GenBank genome assembly